This 242-nucleotide unclassified non-coding RNA is filed under the name Hevea brasiliensis (rubber tree). The record is from RNAcentral. Lineage: Eukaryota; Viridiplantae; Streptophyta; Magnoliopsida; Malpighiales; Euphorbiaceae.
ACUUACUUCGCCAGCCACCAAAGGUAAAAUGAUGAGUUCUGAAGUCACUUUGCCUCAUCCAUGCAUUGAUUUAGUAAUGGCUAAGAUCAUACUCGCUUUUAGAUCACAAUCCAAGCAUCACAAGAAAGUUAGAAAACUCUAUGUUGAUUAUUUCUUUUAAUCUAGUAACAAAGCCUUGAUGACUUGAGAGUUUUGCGAGUAAUGCAUAUAUUUUAUUAAAAAAAAUAUAUGCGUGAAAAAAA